UAAAACUGUCCCCAUUUUAAUUAAAAUUGUCCAAAUGCUUCAGAUAACCUAGGACCUUGUUACAACUUCUCUUUUACCUUCAUAUCUCACCACAAUCCGCCGCCCAUUGGAAAUCGCCAGCGCCGGCGGUUGACCUCCAAUCUCUACCAAUUUAACAUCCCAAAAUCCCCUCUAUCCCCUCAUCCCAAAUCUCUAACCCAUUUCUCUCAAACCAUCACCAAUCUCCUCGAAUUUCAGAUUCAAAAUCGGAUCCCCAAAACCCUAACUCACCCAAACCCACCCAAAUUAACAUCCUACAGUCCUCAGGCUUUCCCAAACCCAAAGCCCUUGAUGAUUUUCCCAAGCGAACUCUAGAAUUCUUUGAACUUGGAAUCUAGAAGUUUGAGUUUGGAAGUUUUGUUGAGGUUUUCUGCUCACCAGGGCCUGAAGCUUGCCCUGAUAGAACAUUCUCGAUUAAGGGCGUUCGUUAGGUUGAGUUUUAGGUUUUGAUGAAGCAUUUCAAGUGGCCAGUCGCUCAUCUCUAUUAGCCAUUUUCUUUGGUUAGUCAUUCACAUAUUUCUUUCUUUUCUUUUGUUUUUAUUUGCUUGUUUCUGUCUUCGUUCUCUCCUGGUUUUCCUCUUUCUUUCUUUCUUUCUUGUUCAAAUCCAUGUCUACCUGCAUGAAAGGCCAUAUUAUUUUAUAAUUGGUUAAUUUAGUAAUGUUUGGUUAGCAGUACUUAAUUUUAUUUGUCUCUUUGACUUGUUCCUUUUCUCUUGAUUUUUCUUUUAAAAAAAGAGAGAAAGGGUUCAGAAUUCUUUGUGAGUUGUUGGAAAGUGGGCUUGCUAGUUCAGAAGGCCGAAGGCUGUUAGAGUCUGCUAAUGCAGUAACCCAAAGACAUUUGGGCAAUUUGGUUCAAGGUCUGGUUGUUGAAUUAAUUAUUAAGCAUUUAAGGGUCAGUUUAGGGAAAUGGAUAAAGGAAAUCUUUUAUAACUACCUAGGAAGCUGCUAGGAAAGUGGGGAAUGGGUUGGUUUUAACAAGCAGAUUCAAAAUACAGGGUCUAAAGGGAAAAAACAAGAAUUGGGGAAGGGGUAAUUGAUAAAUGGUGAAAUCAUUUCUGCUGCCCUAAGGUUCUCUAUAUAAGGCUUACCUUCAAUAAAAAUUGGCAGAGAUUAGAACACUUAGAGCUGAAAAUGGCUGAGAUAUACUUUAAAAAAAGAACACUCAAGUUUUUUGCAUUCUUUUGGUUUGAAAAUCGCUGGAAAUUGCUCUUUGAUUUCAUUGUUGGAAGAGUUUAAAACUUCAAAGAGUCUCUAUUUUGUCUGGAGGUUUUAAAAUGGUUUGAAAGAAGCUGAAUUUGCUGGGUUAAUGAACUGAUUUACUACUAUAGCUGAAAUACUUACCUUCUAUUAUUUACUUUGAUUUCCAGGUAUUCAUUGGCUUUUUGGCUUUUAUGUGAUCUAUGAAGUGCCAACUUGCAAUGUGUAACCAAAUUGGAGGUUUGAGAAUGAAUUUUAAUUUUGUUGAACACUAAUCUACGUUCUUUAGAAUUUUUCCAUAUCUAUGUGUUAGUUUCAACUCUUUUAUGUCUGUUCCCUUUAGUUAUGUUGAUAUUCUGGUACUGCAUCUUCAAAGUAUGGUUUAAGCUUUAGUUUGUUAUGAUGUUUUUUUAUUGAAUUGGAGGUCUAUGUAUUUGGACAUUUAGAGGUCUUGAAUGUGUUGUAGUGCAGGUUGUUGGGAUUUUGACUAAGAAAAGCUUUAAAUGUUGUAUUUUAAAUGUCUGUAUUCCUAGGCUAUGCUUUUAAUCCGAUUAAUUAUGCAAAGUGACUUGGGCUGCCAUGAAGUAACACUGCUGUUGGGUUUCGAAUAAGACUCAACAUAGGCCCAAAUCGAACAGCCUAGUCUCAAGCUGGGCCCUUCGGUUUUGGGUGUGGUUGUUUUGUUUCCCCUAUGCAAUUUUGUUUAAUGUGUUACCUGAACCCUAGAUGUUCAUGUGGACAUUUGUUUCGAGCUCCUGCAGCAGGUCUCACCGUUGGGCCUUGUAGUUGGCCCAGUUACGUCAAAAAUCCCGUCCAGUCUUUGGCCUCACCUUGAGCCCAAUUCCCUUUAAUUAUUGUCUAUUGUUAUUUAAGUAUGGAAUUCGUCUCCUUCCCAAAUGUAGGCCAAUAUAGUGUUUGCAUAGGCUGCUUAUAGCAAUGUAUACAGAACUUAAUUUGGAUAAAAUUCAAAUCGCCUCUAACCC
RNAcentral lists this long non-coding RNA (2219 nucleotides) under Nicotiana tabacum (common tobacco). RNAcentral describes it as "long non-coding RNA (NTAB_LNC017053)". Lineage: Eukaryota; Viridiplantae; Streptophyta; Magnoliopsida; Solanales; Solanaceae. The record is from RNAcentral.